UUUAUUAAUAAAUUUGACUUUGGUUUGUAUUUUGAUUAUUGUGAUUUUGUACAUGUUAGAUUUUAUAUAUAUAUAUAUAUAUAUAUAUAUAUCGUUUAUUUUAAAAGUAUUUAUUGCGAAAAAUAUAUGUUAUUUAAUAUAUUUAUAUUUGUGCAUAGGUUGAUUGUAUUAUAUGAUAUAAAAAGUAUAAUUUUUAAGAUGUUCAGUAUAUUUAUUUAUACAAUAAAUGGGAGUUUUAUAUAGAAAUUAUAAAUAAUAAUUGGUUAAAUUUGUGCCAGCAGCUGCGGUUAUACAAAUAAUUAUAGUUAAAAUAAAAUGGUUAAAAAUAAAGUUAUAUACAGAUUAAUAUUUAAAGGAAAAAAUAUAAUUGGUUUGAAGGUAAAAUUUUUAAAUUAAUUGGUUUAUUAUUUGUUUCUUUGGUUAAUAGGUUCUUUGAAAAAUUUUGGAAUAAACUAGGAUUAGAUACCCUAUUAUUUUAUUUAUAAAAUUUGAUUGUGUUUAUCUAAAUAUUAUGAAAAUUAUAGUUAAUAUAUGUUGUUAACUAUUAAUUAUAUUUAAAAUUUAAAAAGUUUGGCGGUUUUACAUAUCCAGUUAGGGGAGUUUGUUAAUAUAAUUUGAUAAUCCACAUUUUAAACUAACUUUUUUUUAUAUACAUGUUUAUGUAUGUAUAGUUUAUAUAUUGCUGUCGGUAGUUUAUAUUUUAAGAUUGAAAGAACUAAUAAAAUUGUUGUUUUAUAUGUCAAGUCAUGAUGUAGCUAAUAAAAAAGGUUUAAUGGGCUACGUUAAAAAAUUUCUUUGAUCCGGAUGAUGAAAAUUAAAUUUGUUUUAAGGGGGACUUAAUAGUAAUUAUAUAAUUAGUAUGUAUAGGUGAAUUAGGUUUUGUAAAGUGUACAUAUCGCCCGUCACUCUUGUUAUUGAAAUAAGAUAAGUCGUAACAUAGUAGAGGUAAUGGAAAUUGUUUCUGGAAUAAAUUA
Molecule: non-coding RNA, 974 nt
Filed under: Octopus fitchi
Lineage: Eukaryota; Metazoa; Mollusca; Cephalopoda; Octopoda; Octopodidae
Source: RNAcentral